RNAcentral lists this ribosomal RNA (169 nucleotides) under Laiphognathus multimaculatus. RNAcentral describes it as "partial 12S rRNA". Lineage: Eukaryota; Metazoa; Chordata; Actinopteri; Blenniiformes; Blenniidae. The record is from RNAcentral.
CACCGCGGUUAUACGAGAGGCCCAAGCUGACAGCCAUCGGCGUAAAGCGUGGUUAAAUAUUUAAAUAAAAUAAAGCUGAAUGUUCCCUCAACUGUUAUACGUUCUCGGGAACUAGAAACCCUCCUACGAAAGUGACUUUAAUAUUAUUGAAACCACGAAAGCUAAGAUA